AGAGUUUGAUCCUGGCUCAGAACGAACGCUGGCGGCAGGCCUCAAACAUGCAAGUCUAGGGGACGUAGCAAUACGUCACCGGCGGACGGGUGCGUAACACGUGGGAACGUACCCUUUGGUUCGGAACAACGCAGGGAACUUGCGCUAAUACCGGAUGAGCCGAAAGGGGAAAGAUUUAUCGCCAAAGGAUCGGCCCGCGU
Molecule: ribosomal RNA, 200 nt
Filed under: uncultured bacterium
Lineage: Bacteria
Description: partial 16S ribosomal RNA
Rfam family: Bacterial small subunit ribosomal RNA
Source: RNAcentral